GUGAGGUAGUGGCUCACCAAGGCAACGACGGGUAGCUGGUCUGAGAGGACGAUCAGCCACACUGGGACUGAGACACGGCCCAGACUCCUACGGGAGGCAGCAGCAGGGAAUAUUGCACAAUGGGCGCAAGCCUGAUGCAGCGACGCCGCGUGAGGGAUGAAGGCCUUCGGGUUGUAAACCUCUUUCAGGAGGGACGAAGCGCAAGUGACGGUACCUCCAGAAGAAGCCCCGGCCAACUACGUGCCAGCAGCCGCGGUAAUACGUAGGGGGCGAGCGUUGUCCGGAUUCAUUGGGCGUAAAGAGCUCGUAGGCGGCUCAGUAAGUCGGCCGUGAAAGCCCAGGGCUCAACCCUGGGAGGCCGGUCGAUACUGCUGUGGCUAGGGUCCGGUAGAGGAGAGUGGAAUUCCCGGUGUAGCGGUGAAAUGCGCAGAUAUCGGGAGGAACACCAGUAGCGAAGGCGGCUCUCUGGGCCGGUACCGACGCUGAGGAGCGAAAGCUAGGGGAGCAAACAGGAUUAGAUACCCUGGUAGUCCUAGCCGUAAACGUUGGGCACUAGGUGUGGCGGAUUCAUUGACAUCUGCCGUGCCGUAGCUAACGCAUUAAGUG
Molecule: ribosomal RNA, 606 nt
Filed under: uncultured Actinomycetes bacterium
Lineage: Bacteria; Bacillati; Actinomycetota; Actinomycetes
Description: bacterial SSU rRNA
Rfam family: Bacterial small subunit ribosomal RNA
Source: RNAcentral